GGUGUUGGAAUUUAAAGGAGUACAUUGGGUGGGUGCUACUUGUCUUUGUUGAACUCAGUAGUCUUCCAAAGUGACCAUAAAUUAACAAAGGACAAAGCCCUCAGAAUUUCCAAAAAUGGAUCUCUCCUUAGCAAGUUAACAUUCCCACGUUAAAUUUACCCGGCUCCAUAAAAAGGAAGGAAAGAUAACUUUCUCAUUUACUAUAACGUCCCCAGAACUUGAAUUGGUUUCCUAGGAACUGUGGACAAGUUACUGAAAUAGGAAAAGCUUGCAGACUCUAAUGGGUACAUUCCCUGAUAAAGAGACAGUAAUUAUAGCUGUUUUCUGCUCUCUCUCAAUAUAUAUAUAUAGAUGACUACAGAAUCCAAACUCAUAUUUAGCAUAAACCUGAAGCCUGUCAUUUUCCAGCAACUCUUUACUUUUCCUAGGAUGACAUGAUAUUGAUCUUCCAGACAGAACAACAACGAUCACAUUCCAUGACAAAGUGAUCACUAAUCCUAUGCUCUAAAAUUAACUAUUAUCACUUUAACUAUGAUAAUUUCCAUCGGUCUAAUGCAAGAUGGAAGGAGUAAGUUAUAACGUCAACAGUAGCUUUGGGUUAAUAUCAGAUGGAUGAAUGUCAUGGGAUUUGCAGCAAAUUUAUAAAUUACAAGAUGCAUUUUCUCUACUUAUUUUAUACCUUCUACCAUCUACAUUUCGCAUGUACACAUUCGUAAGCUUCUUUGCCUCGCUAACAUUAGGAAGGUUGAAUUUGCUUCAACUGCUGGACAACUUGCUUCAUGGUAGGCCUGGUUGAGACGGUCUCAACUGUACAUCUGACAGCCAAGUGCAGCAUUUCCACCAGAUCAUCUUGGGGACCUGAAUCCCAUAACCCUGCAUUGAAGACAUCUUCUGCUUGGCCAUGUCGCAACAGCAUGCAGGCCCAAGAAACAAUAUUGAAACCAUUUUCAUGUGAAGAAAACGAUGGAUCCAAUGCUUUCUUAUCUGAUAUCAGCUCAAGCAGAACCACGCCAUAGCUAUAAACAUCAGCCUUCUCGGACACACGACAGGUCAUAGCAUAUUCUGGUGCAACGUAUCCAAAUGUUCCGGCCACACCAGUUGUUGCAUGGGUUUCAGAAGUUCCCAAGAGCCUAGAUAACCCAAAGUCAGAUAAAUACGCGUUCAAGUCAUUAUCCAACAAUAUGUUACUAGGCUUGACAUCGCGGUGUAGAACGCGAGGAGCACAUUGAUGAUGGAGAUAAGAAAGUGCAGAGGCUAUAUCUAAAGCAAUCUUGUGGAGAACCUUCCAAUUAACAGCUAUUGGUGAUCUUUCCUUGAUAAAAUCUUCCAGAUUACCUCCAGGCAAAUAAUUAUAUAUGAGAAACAUCUCAGUUUCAUUGGCAUGGUACCCUAUUAAAGUUACAAGAUUAGGGUGCCUCAUUCUACUGAGGGCCUUUAUCUCAGCAUGGAAUUGUUGAACGCCUUGAAUCCUUCCAACAGCAAGCUUCUUUAUAGCCACUAGUGUCCCUGGAGAAAUUUCAGCCUUGUAAGUGGCACCAAAGCCUCCACUCCCGAUACAAUUGCUUGCAUUGAAGUUCCCAGUUGCUUCUACUAUGUUCUCGUAUAACAACGGAAUCCCAAUGUUAAAAAAAACAGUAAUUUCGUUUCGUUCAGAGACCUGAACCCUGGUGUUUGGUACCCAUUUUUUUUGUGUAGAAGAACAGAAUAACUAGAACUAGAAGUAUAGAAACAACAGCUGAUGCAGAUGCUAUAGAUGCAAUCUCAAUUGGCCUAAGACCAGUACUCUCACUUUUGGUUUCUGAUGAAGAAUUUAAAUUACUUGGUUGAUCCAUAUUGCUUCCUGUUGGAUCUGGAGAUGAUGCAGAAAGAGAGAAUGUGUCACAAGAGUUGGGAAAAGGAUUUCCAUGGGCGUUGCUACAAUUCAUGACCCUUCUAUGCAAGGGCAAUGGCUCUGAUGGACCAUUUGAAGACAGUGAUCUCACAUUAUUGAAACCAGAUGGGAUCUGCGCUGAGAGUUUGCUGUUGUCAAGCAGCAAAGAAGUAAGAUUUUCCAAUUUCACAGUAUUCUGUGGAAUUUUUCCAGAGAGAGAAUUUGGAGAAAUUUCUAACUCUUGAAGAGAAUCCAACUGCCCCAAACCAGAAGGGAUGGCACCAAUCAGGUUGUUACCAGCCAAGGAGAUGUGCUUUAGGUACUUUAACCUAUAGAGACUAGCUGGGAUUUGACCCUGCAGUUUGUUCCCACUCAAGUUAAGGGCAACGAGAAAUUUCAAAUCCCCAAUGCUUUGGGGUAUUGAACCCGCAAUUUGAUUCUCAGAGGCAUCCAAAAAUCUUAGAGAUCCACACAUUGAACCAAUAUUCAAUGGAAUAAGACCAGAUAUCUGAUUUUUGCUAACAUUAAUAAUCAUUCCAUGCAAUUUAUCACACUUCCCAAAUAAGAUUCCAGGAAAUGAUCCAUUAAGCUUGUUUCUACUGGCAAGAAAAGCAUAAUCAGUCUGCUCUGCUAAUCUCUCUGGUGCAAUUGGCAGCCAACGAAUUGGACCAGUGAAAUUGUUUCCACCAUAGUUGUGAAUCACUGCCAAAGUGGCAGCAGAGAACGGCAAAUGGUUUGCAAGGCGAGUUUUGUAUAGUAAGAAUGACACGUACCCACGUGACGGAUCACGGCCUUCACCAAGAUCUGAAUUUGAGGAGGGUACACGUGGGCAAACAUCGUAAUUAAAUCUAGGUAUGGAGCUGGACAUGAGGUUCUGACUAACAUCAAAGAAAGUCAUACAAGGAACUGGAAGUUUCUCGUCGAGCUGCCCACUUAGCAUGUUUGAACUCAAAUCCAGGUAAUACAACUUCUUGCAUCUCCCAAAAAUUCCAUUUAUUUCACCACCAAAACCAUUAUGUGCUAAGUUCACCAUCUCCAAGCUCUCACAGCCACCCCAAUUGCUUGGAAGCUUCCCUUCGAAAGUUACCCUCGGUGCCCAAAGCACUCUUAGCUUGGGAAGGGUUGUAAUCUCAGUAGGAAUAGACCCUCGAAAAUGAUUGUACUCAUGAUUAGACACAGAUGGCAAACUAGCCAACAUCUCUCUGCUCUUAUUUUUGUCAUUCGGCCACGUUUCAAAAAGGUUCGAAAGAACAAGAACAGACAAUUCAGCACAAUUACCAAGCUCAGCAGGGAUCACACCAUUAAUGAGAUUCCUUGAAAUGUCUAAAACUUCAAGCCUUCCAAGCUGGCCAAGCUCACGAGGAAUCUCUCCAUUCAACUUAUUCGAAAACAACAAAAGCGUCCUCAACUGCCGACAAUUUCCCAAAGUAUCAGGAAUCCCACCAAACAGGGAAUUUCCAGACACAUCAAGAUGCUGAAGAUACUGGCAUUUCCUUCCUAAAACAGCCGGAACAGUCCCAUUCAGCUCAUUAUAAGCCAAAUAAAGCCCUCUCAGCCUAAAGAAACUACCAACAAACCUGGGGAUUGACCCCUUCAACUUGUUACCAGCUAAAUUCAAAAACUCUAAACCAGCACAUUUUGAUAGAGAAAUGGGAAUCUCCCCAUCAAGUCUAUUAAACCCAAGAUUCAAAACUCUCAAUUUCCUUAACCCAACAAAUCCACAAGGCAAUUUUCCGGUAAACAAAUUCCCUUCAAGAUCAAGCACUUCCAAAUGCUCUAAACCCCAUAUUUCUAAGGGAAUUUCACCACUAAGUUCAUUAUAAGGCAACGAUAAAACUCUAAGCUGACUAAGUUUUCCAAUCAACGGGGAUAACUUCCCCUCUAACUUUCCGACACGAUUAGAACAAUUUCUCCUGAUUCCAAACCUACGAAAAGGAAACUUUAAAGACUCGGAACAAGAAAGAGCCUGAGAAUUACCUUCAAAACCAUCAUCACCGCCGGUAAUACUGAUGGAGACAACCCUGGAUUUGAGGUUGCAUGUGACACCAAGCCACGAACAAUGAUGAGAAUUGCUAGAGUUCCAGCUGGAGAGAAUCCCAUGAGGAUCAGAAACAAAGGACUUGAAUUCCAGCAGAACUGAUUUGUCAGAAACCACUCCCCCAUAAACAGAAGAGCAAAAACAGAGCAGAAAGAAGAUGAGGAUCACUGGGAACGAAUUUCUUUUCAUUUCCUCAAGAAAUGGCGACAAAGAAGGAAACCCAGUAGAGUACACAACCCUUCCUCGUCUACCAAGAAAGCAAGAAAUAGAAAGAGUCUAUCUUGGCAGCAGGAAAACGAUAAAAAAGAGUUUUUUUGGGGUUUCUGUGGAGGAAACAGCGUUUUCUUAAGUCUUUCUUCUCCUACUUCUCUCCAG
Molecule: unclassified non-coding RNA, 4283 nt
Filed under: Hevea brasiliensis (rubber tree)
Lineage: Eukaryota; Viridiplantae; Streptophyta; Magnoliopsida; Malpighiales; Euphorbiaceae
Source: RNAcentral